GAUGAACGCUGGCGGCGUGCCUAAUACAUGCAAGUCGAGCGAACAGACGAGGAGCUUGCUCCUCUGACGUUAGCGGCGGACGGGUGAGUAACACGUGGAUAACCUACCUAUAAGACUGGGAUAACUUCGGGAAACCGGAGCUAAUACCGGAUAAUAUAUUGAACCGCAUGGUUCAAUAGUGAAAGACGGUUUUGCUGUCACUUAUAGAUGGAUCCGCGCCGCAUUAGCUAGUUGGUAAGGUAACGGCUUACCAAGGCAACGAUGCGUAGCCGACCUGAGAGGGUGAUAGGCCACACUGGAACUGAGCCACGGUCCAGACGCCUACGGGAGGCAGCAGUAGGGAAUCUGCCGCAAUGGGCGAAAGCCUGACGGAGCAACGCCGCGUGAGUGAUGAAGGUCUUCGGAUCGUAAAGCUCUGUUAUUAGGGAAGAACAAAUGUGUAAGUAACUAUGCACGUCUUGACGGUACCUAAUCAGAAAGCCACGGCUAACUACGUG
This 497-nucleotide ribosomal RNA is filed under the name uncultured bacterium. RNAcentral's name for it is "partial 16S ribosomal RNA". It matches the Rfam family "Bacterial small subunit ribosomal RNA", at positions 28 to 507 of the family's 1533-position model. The record is from RNAcentral.